CCUACGGGAGGCAGCAGUGGGGAAUAUUGGGCAAUGGGCGCAAGCCUGACCCAGCAACGCCGCGUGAAGGAAGAAGGCUUUCGGGUUGUAAACUUCUUUUCUCAGGGACGAAGCAAGUGACGGUACCGGAGGAAUAAGCCACGGCUAACUACGUGCCAGCAGCCGCGGUAAUACGUAGGGGGCAAGCGUUAUCCGGAUUUACUGGGUGUAAAGGGCGUGUAGGCGGGACUGCAAGUCAGAUGUGAAAACCACGGGCUCAACCUGUGGCCUGCAUUUGAAACUGUAGUGCUUGAGUGCUGGAGAGGCAGACGGAAUUCCUAGUGUAGCGGUGAAAUGCGUAGAUAUUAGGAGGAACACCAGUGGCGAAGGCGGUCUGCUGGACAGCAACUGACGCUGAGGCGCGAAAGCGUGGGGAGCAAACAGGAUUAGAUACCCUAGUAGUC
RNAcentral lists this ribosomal RNA (443 nucleotides) under uncultured bacterium. RNAcentral's name for it is "partial 16S ribosomal RNA". It matches the Rfam family "Bacterial small subunit ribosomal RNA", at positions 338 to 795 of the family's 1533-position model. The record is from RNAcentral.